This 268-nucleotide long non-coding RNA is filed under the name Mytilus galloprovincialis (Mediterranean mussel). Lineage: Eukaryota; Metazoa; Mollusca; Bivalvia; Mytilida; Mytilidae. The record is from RNAcentral.
GUUUGCAGUUAUGUAUAGUAUAGAUGUAUACCAGAGAGUGCUAUCUUGGUAGUACUUGAUUUAGUGUACUACUUUAACAAUAAAAACUUUCGUAGAAGUUUUAGUGUAUAUUGUCAAAUUCAACGGGGUUAUGUUUCUUAUAUUUAGAAAUCAUAAACUGAUAAAUGAUACCCUCCAGCUCUGUUACAACUAUUAAAAAGCCGAUAUUUAGAAAUGAAAAAACUAAGAAAAAAAAGGUAAAUAAUAUAUAUCUACCGAAUUAUUUGUU